Molecule: ribosomal RNA, 497 nt
Filed under: uncultured bacterium
Lineage: Bacteria
Description: partial 16S ribosomal RNA
Rfam family: Bacterial small subunit ribosomal RNA
Source: RNAcentral
GAUGAACGCUGGCGGCGUGCCUAAUACAUGCAAGUCGAGCGAACAGAUGAGGAGCUUGCUCCUCUGACGUUAGCGGCGGACGGGUGAGUAACACGUGGAUAACCUACCUAUAAGACUGGGAUAACUUCGGGAAACCGGAGCUAAUACCGGAUAAUAUAUUGAACCGCAUGGUUCAAUAGUGAAAGACGGUUUUGCGGUCACUUAUAGAUGGAUCCGCGCCGCAUUAGCUAGUUGGUAAGGUAACGGCUUACCAAGGCAACGAUGCGUAGCCGACCUGAGAGGGUGAUCGGCCACACUGGAACUGAGACACGGUCCAGACUCCUACGGGAGGCAGCAGUAGGGAAUCUUCCGCAAUGGGCGAAAGCCUGACGGAGCAACGCCGCGUGAGUGAUGAAGGUCUUCGGAUCGUAAAACUCUGUUAUUAGGGAAGAACAAAUGUGUAAGUAACUAUGCACGUCUUGACGGUACCUAAUCAGAAAGCCACGGCUAACUACGUG